Molecule: ribosomal RNA, 305 nt
Filed under: uncultured bacterium
Lineage: Bacteria
Description: bacterial SSU rRNA
Rfam family: Bacterial small subunit ribosomal RNA
Source: RNAcentral
UAAUCCUACGGGAGGCAGCAGUAGGGAAUUUUCGGCAAUGGGGGGAACCCUGACGCAGCGACGCCGCGUGAGGGAUGAAGGUCUUCGGAUCGUAAACCUCUGUCAGCAGGGAAGAACGGUCACUGUGCUAAUCAGCAGUGAAUUGACGGUACCUGCAAAGGAAGCACCGGCUAACUCCGUGCCAGCAGCCGCGGUAAUACGGAGGGUGCGAGCGUUAAUCGGAAUUACUGGGCGUAAAGCGCUCGUAGGCGGUAUGUCAAGUCAAGGGUGAAAUCCCCGCGCUCAACGAGGGAACUGCCUUUGAA